Molecule: ribosomal RNA, 492 nt
Filed under: uncultured bacterium
Lineage: Bacteria
Description: partial 16S ribosomal RNA
Rfam family: Bacterial small subunit ribosomal RNA
Source: RNAcentral
AGUGAACGCUGGCGGUAGGCCUAACACAUGCCAGUCGAACGGCAGCACAGUAAGAGCCUGCUCUUACGGGUGGCGAGUGGCGGACGGGUGAGGAAUACAUCGGAAUCUACUUUUUCGUGGGGGGUAACGUAGGGAAACUUACGCUAAUACCGCAUACGACCUACGGGUGAAAGCAGGGGAUCUUCGGACCUUGCGCGAUUGAAUGAGCCGAUGUCGGAUUAGCUAGUUGGCGGGGUAAAGGCCCACCAAGGCGACGAUCCGUAGCUGGUCUGAGAGGAUGAUCAGCCACACUGGAACUGAGACACGGUCCAGACUCCUACGGGAGGCAGCAGUGGGGAAUAUUGGACAAUGGGCGCAAGCCUGAUCCAGCCAUACCGCGUGGGUGAAGAAGGCCUUCGGGUUGUAAAGCCCUUUUGUUGGGAAAGAAAAGCAGCAGGUUAAUACCCCGCUGUUCUGACGGUACCCAAAGAAUAAGCACCGGCUAACUUCGUG